GAAGGUGUGCUGUGAGGCAUGCUGGAGGUAUCAGAAGUGCGAAUGCUGACAUAAGUAACGAUAAAGCGGGUGAAAAGCCCGCUCGCCGGAAGACCAAGGGUUCCUGUCCAACGUUAAUCGGGGCAGGGUGAGUCGACCCCUAAGGCGAGGCCGAAAGGCGUAGUCGAUGGGAAACAGGUUAAUAUUCCUGUACUUGGUGUUACUGCGAAGGGGGGACGGAGAAGGCUAUGUUGGCCGGGCGACGGUUGUCCCGGUUUAAGCGUGUAGGCUGGUUUUCCAGGCAAAUCCGGAAAAUCAAGGCUGAGGCGUGAUGACGAGGCACUACGGUGCUGAAGCAACAAAUGCCCUGCUUCCAGGAAAAGCCUCUAAGCAUCAGGUAACAUCAAAUCGUACCCCAAACCGACACAGGUGGUCAGGUAGAGAAUACCAAGGCGCUUGAGAGAACUCGGGUGAAGGAACUAGGCAAAAUGGUGCCGUAACUUCGGGAGAAGG
Molecule: ribosomal RNA, 492 nt
Filed under: Escherichia coli
Lineage: Bacteria; Pseudomonadati; Pseudomonadota; Gammaproteobacteria; Enterobacterales; Enterobacteriaceae
Also listed under: 2 other names
Description: partial 23S ribosomal RNA
Rfam family: Bacterial large subunit ribosomal RNA
Source: RNAcentral